Molecule: transfer RNA, 75 nt
Filed under: Hyperthermus butylicus DSM 5456
Lineage: Archaea; Thermoproteati; Thermoproteota; Thermoprotei; Desulfurococcales; Pyrodictiaceae
Also listed under: 1 other name
Rfam family: tRNA
About the family: Transfer RNA (tRNA) molecules are approximately 80 nucleotides in length.
Source: Rfam by way of RNAcentral
GGGCCCGUAGCUCAGCCAGGACAGAGCGCCGGCCUCCGGAGCCGGAGGUCCCGGGUUCAAAUCCCGGCGGGCCCG